RNAcentral lists this ribosomal RNA (235 nucleotides) under uncultured Actinomycetales bacterium. RNAcentral describes it as "partial 16S ribosomal RNA". It matches the Rfam family "Bacterial small subunit ribosomal RNA", at positions 96 to 334 of the family's 1533-position model. The record is from RNAcentral. Lineage: Bacteria; Bacillati; Actinomycetota; Actinomycetes; Actinomycetales.
UGGCGAACGGGUGAGUAACACGUGGGUGAUCUGCCCUGCACUCUGGGAUAAGCCUGGGAAACUGGGUCUAAUACCGGAUAGGACCAUGCUUUAGUGUGUGUGGUGGAAAGUUUUUUCGGUGUAGGAUGAGCCCGCGGCCUAUCAGCUUGUUGGUGGGGUAAUGGCCUACCAAGGCGGCGACGGGUAGCCGGACUGAGAGGUUGGUCGGCCACAUUGGGACUGAGAUACGGCCCGG